UACGUAGGGAGCGAGCGUUAUCCGGAUUCAUUGGGCGUAAAGCGCGCGUAGGCGGCCCGUCAAGCGGGGUUUCAAAUCCAGGGGCUCAACCUCUGGCCGGACCCCGAACUGGCGGGCUCGAGUGCGGUAGAGGAAGGUGGAAUUCCCAGUGUAGCGGUGAAAUGCGCAGAUAUUGGGAAGAACACCGAUGGCGAAGGCAGCCUUCUGGGCCGCCACUGACGCUGAGGCGCGAAAGCUAGGGGAGCGAACAGGAUUAGAUACCCUGGUAGUCCUAGCCGUAAACGAUGGGCACUAGGUGUGGGGGAGCAUCUCCUCCGUGCCGCAGCCAACGCAUUAAGUGCCCCGCCUGGGGAGUACGGCCGCAAGGCUAAA
Molecule: ribosomal RNA, 372 nt
Filed under: uncultured bacterium
Lineage: Bacteria
Description: bacterial SSU rRNA
Rfam family: Bacterial small subunit ribosomal RNA
Source: RNAcentral